GGUGAUUUUUCAGAGUCUUUCUGGAGG
Molecule: non-coding RNA, 27 nt
Filed under: Rattus norvegicus (Norway rat)
Lineage: Eukaryota; Metazoa; Chordata; Mammalia; Rodentia; Muridae
Source: RNAcentral